Molecule: long non-coding RNA, 1217 nt
Organism: Cydia pomonella (codling moth)
Lineage: Eukaryota; Metazoa; Arthropoda; Insecta; Lepidoptera; Tortricidae
Exons: 2
Source: RefSeq, a predicted model, not a curated record
UCUAGGGUUGAAGCGAAAAAAAAAUUCACCCCCACUUUACGUGUAGGGGAGGUACCUUAAAAAAAAUUAAAUUUUUAGAUUUUAUUGUACGACUUUGUCGGCUUUAUUGAUUUAUAUAUCCAUGUCAAAGUUCAGCUUUCUAGCACUAACGACCACGGAGCAAAGCCGCGGACAGACAGACAGACAGACAGACAGACAGACAGACAGACAGACGGACAUGGCGAAACUAUAAGGGUUCCGUUUUAUGCCAUUUGGCUACGGAACCCUAAAAAACACCUUAGUAAAUGGAAAAUUUAUGUUUUAUUCACACAAUUAUUUACAUAUGAUAUUAUACGUAUUACAUAUAUGAUAAAUACAUUUACAUAUUACACAUUAUAUGUGUAUCCCAAUGAUUAUCGUUUUCAAGUAGACCUAAUCUUUGACAUGCUUCACGAUGUCUCAAAAAUGUAACCAUUGACAGUUUUUAGGGUUCCGUAGCCAAAUGGCAUAAAACGGAACCCUUAUAGUUUCGCCAUGUCCGUCUGUCUGUCUGUCUGUCUGUCUGUCUGUCUGUCUGUCUGUCUGUCUGUCUGUCUGUCUGUCCGAGGCUUUGCUCCGUGGUCGUUAGUGCUAGAAAGCUGAAAUUUGGCAUGGAUAUAUAAAUCAAUAAAGCCGACAAAGUCGUACAAUAAAAUCGAAAAAUUUAAUUUUUUUUAGGGUCCCUCCCCUACACGUAAAGUGGGGGUGAAUUUUUUUUUUUCGCUUCAACCCUAGAGUGUGGGGUAUCGUUGGAAAGGUCUUUCAAAACUAAUAGGGGUUUUCAAGAAACAUUUUUUGAUAAAGUGAAUAUAUUCGGAGAUAAUCGCUCCGAAAGAAAAACAAAAUGUGUCCCCCCCCCCUCUAACUUUUGAACCAUAGGCCCAAAAAAAUAUGAAAAAAAUCGUGGAAGUAGAGCUUAAGAAAGACAUUAAAUGAAAACUAUAGCGGACAUGAUCAGUUUAGCUGUUUUUGAGUUAUCGCAAAAAGUUUUCCCUUCAUAGUAAAAAGACUUAUUUUAAUUAGGUACUGAUUAUGCAAAUUUGCCUAUUUGUUUAACUCAGGUGAAAGGUACCGUUUCAUCCCUUGGUUAACAAUUUACUAUACUUUAAGCUCCAGUUUAGCUUAUUGUGACGGAAGAGUAACUACGGAACCCUACACUGAGCGUGGCCCGACAUGCUCUUGGCCGUUUUUUUUUAUAU